Molecule: ribosomal RNA, 39 nt
Filed under: Iwatsukiella leucotricha
Lineage: Eukaryota; Viridiplantae; Streptophyta; Bryopsida; Hypnales; Pterigynandraceae
Description: partial 25S ribosomal RNA
Source: RNAcentral
CAGACCUCUAAUCGGAAAAAGACUACCCGCUGAGUUUAA